This 116-nucleotide ribosomal RNA is filed under the name Botrytis cinerea. Lineage: Eukaryota; Fungi; Ascomycota; Leotiomycetes; Helotiales; Sclerotiniaceae. RNAcentral also lists the same sequence under 2 other names. The record is from RNAcentral.
ACGACCAUAGACUGAGGAGAAUUGGGCAUCCCGUCCGCUCUGCCAUACACAAGCCUCAGAUCGGUAGAUUAGUAGUUGGGUGGGUGACCACCAGCGAAUCCCUACUGUUGUAUGUU